GCCUAGUAGCGUAGUGGUUAUCGCUCCGCACGCACAUACUGAUGUGCCCAUAGAGGUACUAGAAACAGCAUAAUUGUCCGGAAGCCCCGUUCGAUUCGGGGACUAGGCA
Non-coding RNA from Infundibulicybe gibba, 109 nucleotides. The record is from the annotation of a GenBank genome assembly. NCBI's taxonomy places the organism in Eukaryota, Fungi, Basidiomycota, Agaricomycetes, Agaricales, Omphalinaceae.